GUCCCUGUAGCUCAGGUGGAUAGAGCAUUUGCCUUCUAAGCAAAGGGUCGCACGUUCGAAUCGUGCCAGGGACA
This 74-nucleotide transfer RNA is filed under the name Omnitrophica WOR_2 bacterium RIFCSPHIGHO2_02_FULL_52_10. RNAcentral describes it as "tRNA-Arg". It matches the Rfam family "tRNA". Rfam says of the family: Transfer RNA (tRNA) molecules are approximately 80 nucleotides in length. Their secondary structure includes four short double-helical elements and three loops (D, anti-codon, and T loops). Further hydrogen bonds mediate the characteristic L-shaped molecular structure. tRNAs have two regions of fundamental functional importance: the anti-codon, which is responsible for specific mRNA codon recognition, and the 3' end, to which the tRNAs corresponding amino acid is attached (by aminoacyl-tRNA synthetases). tRNAs cope with the degeneracy of the genetic code in two manners: having more than one tRNA (with a specific anti-codon) for a particular amino acid; and 'wobble' base-pairing, i.e. permitting non-standard base-pairing at the 3rd anti-codon position. Lineage: Bacteria; Pseudomonadati; Candidatus Omnitrophota. The record is from RNAcentral.